AACACUGUUAACCUGCGGUACCUGCGGAGGGAUCAUUACCGAGUUUACAAACUCCCAACCCUAUGUGAACCUUACCAAUCGUUGCUUCGGCGGGCUUAGCCCCCGCGCCCUCGCCGGCGCCGGGAGAAAGGCGCCCGCCGGGGACCCCAAACCCAAUGUUUUUCAUGCAGUAUUUCUGAGUGGCAAACGCAAAAAUAAAUCAAAACUUUUAGCAACGGAUCUCAGAUCGGAAGAGCACAC
This 240-nucleotide unclassified non-coding RNA is filed under the name soil metagenome. Its description in RNAcentral is "partial contains 5.8S ribosomal RNA, internal transcribed spacer 2, and large subunit ribosomal RNA". The record is from RNAcentral.